CCCCAAAAUUUUAGCCUUCCUUUAAAGCCGCCCCUGCCCUUGCUUUUUCUCUCUUUUCAGCGGCCACCGCCCUUCCAACAGCUCUACCUUCUCCGCCACCUGAAGCUCCAGUGUUUACCCGAAGUUUCUUUUCAGACCCCCUCCAGCAAUGGGCACAGCAAACAUAAGGGAUAUUUGGACUUGUUUUAGUCCUUCGUUGGACUUCUUUGCUAUAAGUUCUGGUGAUGGCCGUAUCAAGAUAUGGGAUACUGUGAAGGGUCAGGUACAGACCGAGUUUGCAGAUAUUGUGUCAAUGGAGACAGAAAGCUUGUUUACUAAGCCAGGAGGUCAUCUUUCAAUGGAUUAUACUUGCAUGAAGUGGUUAUCAUGUGACAGAAAGAAAAAGAGGAAGCUUGGAACUUCAUUAUUGGUGUUAGGUACAGGAAGUGGUGAUGUUUUGGCUCUAGAUGUAUCUGCAGGUCAUCUGAAAUGGAGAUUUAGUGAUUGCCAUCCUGGCGGUGUCAACGCCAUCUCAUUCCCUUCACAUGGCUCAUUCAUUUACACUGCUGGUGCUGAUGGACUAGUUUGCAAAAUUGACUCCAUGUCGGGGAAUUUACUGCAUAAGUUUAAAGCUUCCACUAAAGCAAUAUCAUCUUUAUCCAUUUCAUCAGAUGGGAAAAUAUUAGCAAUAGCAACUUCUCAGUUGAAAAUUUUCAAUUGCUUGGAUGAGAAAAAGCUCCAGAAAUUUUCAGGCCACCCUGGGGCUGUCCGGUGUAUGGUCUUCUCUGAAGAUGGGAGACAUGUUCUUUCUUCUGCUAUUGGUGACCGACAUGUAGCAGUUUGGAAGUUAGAUGGUAGCAAAAAGAAAUCAGCAUGCUGCUUGCUUGCAAUGGAUCACCCUGCUGUCUUUUUGGAUAGCUACAACAAUAAAUAUGGAGCUGAAAAUGAUGCAGGCUUAGGUGUUUUGGCCAUUUCAGAAUUUGGUGUUUGCUACUUUUGGCAUGGAAAGAGCUUUGAGGAAUUGCACAAUAGGAAGCCCACAAAGAUAUGCACAUCUUUAGAUGAGAAAAUACUGAAGAAACAUAAAGAAGCCGUGCAUAGUAUUUUUUCAGCAAAAUUGCAAUCUAUCGGCACAUCUGGUUCCGGCCAUAUGUUUGUUGCAUAUGGCUUGUUGAUAAAACCAUCAUUUGAAAAAGUUAUGGUGCAGCCUGGGGAGGAUGUCAGAUUAAAAAGUUCACUUGACGGGAUCCUUCUUCCCUUCAGUCAAUCUUGCAAAUCUAACCAAGCAUCCAACACCCAGAGUCAGGUUACUGCUCUCGAUCGUGCAAAUGCAGAGGGUGCGUUACUUCCUUUGCCUAUGAUUCUUGAUCAGGGGGGCUUGGAGACUGGAAAUAAGCCCAUAGUUAGCAAAGAUGUCAUUGGUAAACAAGGAGAAGAUGAGGUCACAAUUUGCAUGGAGGACCAGUUAAGAUCCUUGGGUAUAAUUAGCAGCGACUAUGAUCUCUCGCCUACCUCAAGUCUUGAUGCUAAGAUUUUGAAGAGAAUAAGUGUUGAUGCUAGUGCACCACAAAAGAAGAUGAAGGCAGCUGUUUUAUCCAUGGAACCGCAUGAUGCUUACAACUUUUUGAAAGCCUUGGUUGCUGCAUGGCAGUCCAGAUCAAGCUUGGGAACACAUGUUCUUCCAUGGAUAUGUUGUAUAUUGGUGAACCACAAUGAAUUUGUUACAUCGCAGGAACAACGGACGCCUCUUCUGGAUUCCAUGAACAAGCUUACCAAGUCAAAGGUUUUAGCCCUUAACUCAUUAUUGCAGUUAUCUGGCUGUUUACAACUCGUUAUGGCACAGAUCGAGAAGGCUGAUAAUAAGAAAGGUUCAGCAUUAACACUCGAGCGCAAGAUGAUUGAUAGUGAGGAUGAUGAGGUAGAUGAAGUUAUGUAUGGCAUAGAUGAAUCUCAGACGAGCAGUGAUGGGGAUGACUAGGACUUUUUGGGUUUUAUGUUGCGGACCAUGUGUUUCCAUCAUUCUCAUGCCAAUGAAAUACUGGCUGGGGACCCUUUAGUAGCUUUGUGGCUCUAACAGAAUUGAUUUAGCACGACACUCUGAAUCAAGCCGUUACUGGUAGACAGUUGCUGUCUCAAAUUUUCCUCUUUCCUCAGCGGGGGAACUCUAUGUUCCAGCAUUUUAUUGGAAGUAUUGUUGAUGGUGAAGCGUGUACCUUAUUGUGUGUGACUUGACUUGCUUAGUAACAUGCAAGUUGUCCAGGUGUGGCUGGCUGAAAUAUGUAUCUAAGGAAGCUACAAACUAGUUGGGCUUAACUCUUUACUGGUGGCCAUUUGCUUCAAUCACUUACAAUUCGUUUUCCCCUAAAUCCUCACACUUCCUGUGAAAGUAACCAGAAAAGCCUCCUGUUAUACAAUAGACCUUAUGUCAGUAACGACGAAGUUUUAGCAGCACUUGAUUGGGUAUUUACAUCCCUGGGAAAAUAAGUUUGCAAGCUUAUUUGUUAGGGUGAACUUUUAUGUUGUACGCCUUGCAUUUAAGCUGUUAUUGUAAAUUGGCAUGGGUGAGUUUUAGAUGUUUGGAUGAGCAAUUUUUUCUUGCUUC
Molecule: RNA transcript, 2581 nt
Organism: Solanum dulcamara
Lineage: Eukaryota; Viridiplantae; Streptophyta; Magnoliopsida; Solanales; Solanaceae
Exons: 14
Source: RefSeq, a predicted model, not a curated record